ACCAGGCCCUCUAGGAGCCUCUGUUCCCCGAGGAGUCCAAAAAACGCAACCCCUGAGGCUGCCCGGCCGGCCAGCAGCUGUCUCUCCACGGGCAUGACCUCAGACCGGGCUCCGGUUACCGGCACGGCAGGGCUGAAAAGACCCGUCCCGGGGUACGUCUAAUGCCGCAUUCACGUGCUUAGACGUAACGUCUGAAUUUCACCACCCUGCUGCCUUUACUGGCCACCAGUCUGCAAGACAAGCUUCACGUCGCUCUCCUCCCUGCGCAGAUGCUGCGUCGCGGAGCCUUGCAGCAGGGGACUCUGAAACGAUUAAAAU
This is a long non-coding RNA of Scatophagus argus, 318 nucleotides long. RefSeq lists it as uncharacterized. NCBI's taxonomy places the organism in Eukaryota, Metazoa, Chordata, Actinopteri, Scatophagidae. The transcript has 2 exons. The record is from RefSeq and is a predicted model, not a curated record.